Molecule: long non-coding RNA, 519 nt
Organism: Microplitis mediator
Lineage: Eukaryota; Metazoa; Arthropoda; Insecta; Hymenoptera; Braconidae
Exons: 3
Source: RefSeq, a predicted model, not a curated record
CAAAUAGAAACCGCUCAAAUUAUUCAAGUUAUCCAAAUGAAUGUAAUGGCCAACUUCGAUACUGCUGGUUUCACGAGGUCAGUGAAAAACGAAAAGACGCGCAGCUUAAUUUGUUUUUAAAAUCAGUUUCAACUAAUCAUGGAUUUAAUCGAGUAUUGCGACAAGGAAUAAGUAUUGCUUACGAUAAAUUAUCUCAUACGGGUAAUAUUUGUAAAUGCAUAUGUGAACGGUCAUUUGAUACGAAUUCUGAUACUCCUCGUGACCAAUUACUUGAUUCCAUAUGUUUCGAUCCAGUUUCAGUUGACGAUGGACAUGUCGCUACGGGGGUUCGAUUCAAAAGAUACGGUAACGUAAUUUAUCUUCAGCUUCAACAAGGAAUUUUCGCUAAUAAAACGAUUGACCCGAGUACUGUCCAAUGGAAAAUACCCAAAAAAUGUGAUAACCAAAAAAAAGUUAUUUAUAAUUUUAAAGACGAUCGUUACGAUGGUUUGAAAAUUCCAUUGCAAAAUUUUUUUCUAC